AACAAAUCUCCACAAGGGAGAUUUCUUCAGAAGGGUACAGGACAUGGAAAUGCUGUGUAAGAGCCUGCACAGAUCUGAAGAGUCAAGAGAUAAGCCACAGUAAAACAUGGAAUUCCGCCUCUGUACUUCAGUAGAAAAAUUAACUGCAAACAUUAUAUUUGGGAUACAGAAUUAGGAUGGCAGAAAACACGGCAAAGGUCAUGCCAGCCUAGGCUCUGGGACAGGAUCUCUCAUCACAAGAUCAACAGCAAAGCCAGGCGCUCCAGCAUCCCAGUUCUCAGCUCUUUCAGCCAACUUGACUUCAUCAUGGAACUGAUGUGGCACUAUGAGUGCGCACACUUGAACAGCAACUUUUGUUUCAGCAUUUGUCCCCUUAGUGAAUGCACCUGAAGAUUAAAGCAGAAUAUUGAACAUGGUGAGCUGUUAACCUGAAAGAAAGGACAGAGUUUUCCCCUUGAGCUGAAAAAGGCAACCCUGAGUCACCCAGCACAUUUGAGACAUGAUCAAAUUCCUGAUCACUUGGAUACAUGGAUGGUGCUUGAAAAUUAUUGCUAGACAGAGGUUAUGCCACUGCUCUAGGAGAGGCAGAAAAGUCAGCCUUGGAGGAUAUUCUGUCUGCCAUAUGAGCCAUCACUUACAGGUCUGUAGUUCAAGGGGAUUUAGCUUGUCUUCUCACAGUUGCUUGAAGUGCAUGAACAGGAAAUUUCCGUGGUUUCAAUAGCAACUGCUGUGUGGUGCGAAUAGCUCGGUAUUUCAAAACAUUUUCAUUGUGAAAUACAAGCCCCUCAGGUCUUCAAAAAUUUUGUUUAUGAGGAUUAAAACCAUAGAAACAUAGAAUAUGCUGAGUUGGAAGGGACCCCUGAGGAUCAUUGAGUCCAACUCCUGGCCCUACACAGGAGUGUCACAGGUAUCACACUAUGUGCCUGAGAACAUUUUCCAAACCUUUCUUAAAUUCUGUCAGGCUUGGUGCUGUGACCACUUCCUUGGGGAACCUGUUCCAGUGCCCAGCCACCUUCUGUGUGAAGAAUGUUUUUUUAAUAUCCAACCUAAACCUCCUAUGACAUAACUUCAUGCUGUUUUUCAAGUCCUGUCACUGGAGACAGGAGUGAAGAGAUCAGUGUCUGCCUCUCCUCUUCCCCCACAAGGAAGUUGUAGACUGUGAUGAGAUUUCAGUCUCCUCUGGAAUGAACAGACCAAGUGACCUCAGCACUCUUCAUACAGCUUCCCCUCAAGGACUUUCACUAUCCUUAUUGCCCUCCUUUGGACACUCUCUAACAUUUAAUGGCUCUUUUAUAUUGUGGCUCCAAAACUGCACACGGGACUCAAGGUGAGGCCGCCCCAGCUCAGAGCAGAGCAGGACAAUCCCCUCCCUUGCCUGGCUGUGAUGCUGUGCCUGAUGCAUCCCAGGACAGGGUUGGCCCUCCUGGCUGCCAAGGCACUGCUGGCUUAUGUUCAACUAGACACUGACCAGGACCUCCGUCUUGUUUUCUAUGGCACUGCUUUCCAACAUGCCAUUCCCCAGUCUGUCUGUACAUUCAGGGUUCCCCUACCCAGGCACAGAACCUGACACUUUUCAGUGUUGAACUUCAUAGGGUUCAUAGCGUUGGUGAUUGCCAGUCUCUGAUUUGUCAAGAGCUCUCUUCAGGACUUUUCUGCUCUCAAGGGAGUCAACAGGUCCUCCCAAUUUAAACGUCCCUGGCAAAUUUAUUUCAUAUUUGUUCAAGUCCAGUGUCCAAAUCAUUAAAGAAGAUGUUGAAGAGCACAGAGAACCAAGGAUAGGGCCCUUCAGAACCCCACUAGUGAAAGGUCAUCAGUCUGAUUUCACCCCAUUCUCUGUAACCCUUUGUGCCCAGCCCAUGAGCCAGUUGCUCACCCAUUGGUUAUCUGGAUGAGUGCUGACAAUACACAAGAGCUCUGUUAUAACUGUUUUUUAUUCUUGGAAGCAAGAACUAGAAGAAAGAUCAAUGUAACAGUGUUACUUAUCUCUGAUUUUACUAAUUGGAAUAUUAAUUCCCAUGAGUAACUUGGAAAUGUAAAAAUACCUUAGGUCAAAGUAGUAUUUGCAUAAGAACAAAGACAGCAACAAUCACUUAGAUAAACACAGCAUAAGGAUAUAUUUUUUUAUUAGGUAGCCAUUUUAAAAAAUCUGAAUAUAUAUUUCUACAUAUCUCUUAAAUAUUUAAAUACACUUAAUAAGUAUUUCUAUUACAUCUUCUAAGAAAAUCUAACACAGUUUAGAUGGAGACAACCAAUUCUCAUAGUUUCUUUUAAAAAAACAAAUGAAACAAAAGCACAAAACAUAAUUCUUGCAUCAGGUAAAUCCAUCAUAAUCUUGGGAAACACAUUUCUGGCAGAAUGCAGGAGUUUACCAGUCUGAAUUCUUGAAUGAGAUUAUUCUCUACAACAGGGUAGAGUUACUCUGCAGUAAUUGAGUAUCAUUAUAUAAAACAUGCUGAGAUGCUCGAAGUUGUAGUAUCUACUUAAUGAACCAAUUUACAUAACUUGCUAGUUUAAUCUAAGCGUCACAUAUAAUUUCAUCAUCUUUCUUCCAGCUGAGCUGUCUCUCUAACUUCUCUUUUCCCAGUGAAAGUCCAUUAUCCAUUAAGAAGAUUAGCUAAAUCCAUUUUUUUGUCUGGUUUGGAAAAAAAGGUCAUAAGGAUACAACUAAUCAAAAUGUACUGGUAUAAUGAAAGUGCAUUCUACUGUCUUUUAUCUUGGGAAGUUUUAUGGUAAGCUUUUUCUUUUGCCAGACAUUUUCUUUACUGAGGUCUUUUGUUCUAAAUUUGACUAAAACACCAAUAAUUCAAGCAAAGCAUGAUGGUUCGUCUCCAUUUCUUCCUUGUUUGGCUCUCUUCUCCAUUAUGGAAUCAGCCUAUUCUGGGCAGGCUGUAGAGGAAUGUCACACUCAUUUCAGGUUUGGUGUGCUAGAUGGAGAAGAGGGGCUAGAACCUGUGUUUCUCCCACUGUUCUGCAUUCCUGUUAUCAUGCAGAAAACUAGAAAAACUGCAGGGUCCUGUUACCUAGUACUAGACAGUAAAAUAGAAAUAUGUAGUUACAAAUUCCUUUUAAUGCCCAAACUACUGUUCACAAAAUACACUGUAUUUUUCUUCUCCAUGCUUCUUUAACUAAAAUUAAGAUUUAAUUGUAUCAAAUAUGUCCAAAGUGAAAGUUUCAAUAAAGCUAUCUCCAUUAAUCUGUAACACCCUUGAUGCAUUUUGUGAUGAGAACUGGAAAGGUCAUGGCCUAUCACUGCCUAGAGCAUGACAUACAUGCAUCCCAAAAACAUGACAUCCCAAGGGAAAAUAAAUUUGGAUUAUUGUGUUUCAGUGCUUAUUCUGGAUUUAACUGUUACAGGAUCUGGCUUUUUUUCUUUGUCUUGUCAAAAUUUGCCAUUAGGUGACUGGAAACAACAAGAAAAUCCAUGUAGUUGAGUGCACUCAACUCAACUCUCCUCCUUUGGUCCCUGAGUCAGUAUUCCCAUGGAGUUCAGCUCAGCACUAUUCAGUACAGUCUACCAUAACAUUUACAUUUCAGAGGAUGACUCAUAGUUUAGCUAGCAGAAAGAUAAUCUGGUAGGUGAGUCCUUUUGCUGUAAUGAUAAGAAAUCUCCAGACUCACCAGAAAGAUAUUUGAAUCAGAUUAUACUAGGAAGAUUCACGGGCUCCAGCAAGUUCACAGCCCCAAGGCAAUAACUUUUUUUUUCAUCUGCUGUUUGAAGAAAUAAGGAACUGAUGGAUAAUUGCUCUUGCUGAUCAGUCUUAGUGACAAACUUCAAGAA
Molecule: non-coding RNA, 3778 nt
Organism: Zonotrichia albicollis (white-throated sparrow)
Lineage: Eukaryota; Metazoa; Chordata; Aves; Passeriformes; Passerellidae
Source: RefSeq, a predicted model, not a curated record